This 68-nucleotide transfer RNA is filed under the name Varanus salvator (water monitor). RNAcentral describes it as "tRNA-Asp". The record is from RNAcentral. RNAcentral also lists the same sequence under 1 other name. Lineage: Eukaryota; Metazoa; Chordata; Lepidosauria; Squamata; Varanidae.
AGAACCCUAGUAAAUCAUUACAUAGCUCUGUCAACGCUAAGUUAUAGGCCAAAACCCUAUGGAUUCUA